Molecule: long non-coding RNA, 216 nt
Organism: Syngnathus acus (greater pipefish)
Lineage: Eukaryota; Metazoa; Chordata; Actinopteri; Syngnathiformes; Syngnathidae
Exons: 3
Source: RefSeq, a predicted model, not a curated record
CAGGAGCAGUUGGGAAAUUGAUGUUGGACGCCAUUGUGCCGAGCCUGACGUUUUCGGAAGAAUUCAACUUCAGAGUCUGAGAUGAGCCUGGCUGCAGACGACAGCGUCUGAAAACAAUUCCAUUCCGGAAUGUGGGCAAAACAAGAUUGGUCUUUUUGUUCAGCUCGAUGAGCGUCACAGAAAACCAUCCAACCCGCCUCAGGUAAACUAAGACCA